UAAUUUAAAGUCUAACCUGCCCAAUGAAAAUUUUAAUGGCCGCAGUAUUUUGACUGUGCAAAGGUAGCAUAAUCAUUAGUUUUUUAAUUAAAAACUGGAAUGAAGGGUUGAACGAAAAAAUAAUUGUCUCUUUAUAAUUUUUUUAGAAUUUUAUUUUUAAGUUAAAAAGCUUAAAUAAAUUUAAAAGACGAGAAGACCCUAUAGAGUUUUAUAUUUUUAAAAUUAUUAUUUUAUUUGAAUUUUAAAAAUUAUUAUUUUUAAAAAUAUUUAAUUGGGGUGAUUGAAAAAUUUAAUUAACUUUUUUUUUAUUUAACAUUAAUAAAUGAAUAAUUGAUCCAUUUUUAUGAUUAAAAGAUUAAAUUACCUUAGGGAUAACAGCGUUAUUUCUUUUUAGAGUUCUUAUCAAUAAAGAAGUUUGCGACCUCGAUGUUGGAUUAAAAUAAAUUUAUGGUGUAGAAGCUAUAAUAUUAGGUCUGUUCGACCUUUAAAAUUUU
RNAcentral lists this ribosomal RNA (494 nucleotides) under Aleochara grisea. Its description in RNAcentral is "partial 16S ribosomal RNA". The stretch from base 371 to 494 matches the Rfam family "Bacterial large subunit ribosomal RNA", at positions 2473 to 2597 of the family's 2925-position model. Lineage: Eukaryota; Metazoa; Arthropoda; Insecta; Coleoptera; Staphylinidae. The record is from RNAcentral.